UGUGCCGCAAGGCGGACUUAUGCUGUAACCCACAGCGUAGCCCAUAGAACGGGCAUUAGACUACUAUUAUAGGAGAAAAAAAUG
This 84-nucleotide non-coding RNA is filed under the name unclassified sequences. RNAcentral describes it as "freshwater-2 RNA". It matches the Rfam family "freshwater-2 RNA". Rfam says of the family: Aquatic, esp. fresh water. The record is from RNAcentral.